RNAcentral lists this ribosomal RNA (22 nucleotides) under Russula delica. Its description in RNAcentral is "partial 18S ribosomal RNA". RNAcentral also lists the same sequence under 2 other names. Lineage: Eukaryota; Fungi; Basidiomycota; Agaricomycetes; Russulales; Russulaceae. The record is from RNAcentral.
GUUUCCGUAGGUGAACCUGCGG